GAUGAACGCUGGCGGCGUGCCUAAUACAUGCAAGUCGAGCGAACGGACGAGAAGCUUGCUUCUCUGAUGUUAGCGGCGGGCGGGUGAGUAACACGUGGAUAACCUACCUAUAAGACUGGGAUAACUUCGGGAAACCGGAGCUAAUACCGGAUAAUAUUUUGAACCGCAUGGUUCAAAAGUGAAAGACGGUCUUGCUGUCACUUAUAGAUGGAUCCGCGCUGCAUUAGCUAGUUGGUAAGGUAACGGCUUACCAAGGCAACGAUGCAUAGCCGACCUGAGAGGGUGAUCGGCCACACUGGACCUGAGACACGGUCCAGACUCCUACGGGCGGCAGCAGUAGGGAAUCUUCCGCAAUGGGCGAAAGCCUGACGGAGCAACGCCGCGUGAGUGCUGAAGGUCUUCGGAUCGUAAAACUCUGUUAUUAGGGAAGAACAUAUGUGUAAGUAACUGUGCACAUCUUGACGGUACCUAAUCAGAAAGCCACGGCUAACUACGUG
This 497-nucleotide ribosomal RNA is filed under the name uncultured bacterium. RNAcentral's name for it is "partial 16S ribosomal RNA". It matches the Rfam family "Bacterial small subunit ribosomal RNA", at positions 28 to 507 of the family's 1533-position model. The record is from RNAcentral.